RNAcentral lists this ribosomal RNA (307 nucleotides) under uncultured bacterium. Its description in RNAcentral is "bacterial SSU rRNA". It matches the Rfam family "Bacterial small subunit ribosomal RNA", at positions 30 to 334 of the family's 1533-position model. The record is from RNAcentral.
AUUGAACGCUGGCGGCAUGGAUUAGGCAUGCAAGUCGAACGAGAAGCUCUAGCUUGCUAGAGUAGAGAGUGGCGAAAGGGUGAGUAACACGUGAAUAAUCUGCCCUCAAGUCGGGGAUAGCCUCUGGAAACGGAGAUUAAUACCGGAUGUGGAUUUAAGAUCGCAUGGUCUUUUACCUAAAAUCUUUUUGCUUGAGGAUGAGUUCGCGGCCCAUUAGCUUGUUGGUAAGGUAACGGCUUACCAAGGCUUUGACGGGUAGGUGGUCUGAGAGGAUGGUCACCCACACUGGGACUGAGACACUGCCCAG